This 497-nucleotide ribosomal RNA is filed under the name uncultured bacterium. RNAcentral's name for it is "partial 16S ribosomal RNA". It matches the Rfam family "Bacterial small subunit ribosomal RNA", at positions 28 to 507 of the family's 1533-position model. The record is from RNAcentral.
GAUGAACGCUGGCGGCGUGCCUAAUACAUGCAAGUCGAGCGAACAGACGAGGCGCUUGCUCCUCUGACGUUAGCGGCGGACGGGUUAGUAACACGUGGAUAACCUACCUAUAAGACUGGGAUAACUUCGGGAAACCGGAGCUAAUACCGGAUAAUAUAUUUAACCGCAUGUUUCAAUAGUGAAAGACGGUUUUGCUGUCACUUAUAGAUGUAUCCGCGCCGCAUUAGCUAUUUGGUAAGGUAACGGCUUACCAAGGCAACGAUGGGUAGCCGACCUGAGAGGGGGAACGGCCACACUGGAACUGAGACACGGUCCAGACUCCUACGGGAGGCAGCAGUAGGGAAUCUUCCGAAAUGGGCGAAAGCUUGACGGAGCAACGCCGCGUGAGUGAUGAAGGUCUGCGGAUCGUAAAACUCUGUUAUUAGGGAAGAACAAAUGUGUAAGUAACUAUGCACGUCUUGACGGUACCUAAUCAGAAAGCCACGGCUAACUACGUG